UCGGGAAUUUUGCGCAAUGGGCGAAAGCCUGACGCAGCAACGCCGCGUGAGGGAUGACGGCCUUCGGGUUGUAAACCUCUUUUAUCAGGGAAGAUAAUGACGGUACCUGAUGAAUAAGUCACGGCUAACUACGUGCCAGCAGCCGCGGUAAUACGUAGGUGACAAGCGUUGUCCGGAUUUACUGGGCGUAAAGAGUGCGUAGGCGGUUUUCUAAGUUUGGUGUGAAAUCUCCCGGCUCAACCGGGAGGGUGCGCCGAAAACUGGGGAACUGGAGUGCAGGAGAGGUAAGCGGAAUUCCUGGUGUAGCGGUGAAAUGCGUAGAUAUCAGGAGGAACACCUGUGGUGUAGACGGCUUACUGGACUGCAACUGACGCUGAGGCACGAAAGCGUGGGUAGCAAACAG
This 403-nucleotide ribosomal RNA is filed under the name uncultured bacterium. Its description in RNAcentral is "bacterial SSU rRNA". It matches the Rfam family "Bacterial small subunit ribosomal RNA", at positions 355 to 775 of the family's 1533-position model. The record is from RNAcentral.